Molecule: ribosomal RNA, 663 nt
Filed under: uncultured Tulasnellaceae
Lineage: Eukaryota; Fungi; Basidiomycota; Agaricomycetes; Cantharellales; Tulasnellaceae
Description: eukaryotic LSU rRNA
Rfam family: 5.8S ribosomal RNA (bases 194-347)
Source: RNAcentral
UCCGUAGGUGAACCUGCGGAAGGAUCAUUACCGAACCAAGGAUGUGCUGGCCUUAAACAAGCAUUGUGCACUCCCGAUCUCAACACUAACACACCUGUGAACCUCGGACCGACGCUCUUAACUGAGUGUUGUGUUCCAUUUAUUACAAAAACCUUUGAGCCAAUGUCUGGAACGUAAAACUUAAUGUAAAUACAACCAUCAGCAACGGAUCUCUUGGCAUUCCAAUCGAUGAAGAACGUAGCGAAUUGCGAUAAGUAAUGUGAAUUGCAGAAUUCAGUGAAUCAUCGAGUCUUUGAACGCACCUUGCACCCUCUGGUAUUCCGGAGGGUAUGCCCGGUUGAGUGUCUUGAAUAUCUCAAUUCCAAUGCUUUGUUAUAAGGGCCUUUCUUGAAACCUUCCUUGUCUAGCGAGACAUCGGGUUGGAAUCGGUCAGGUCUGAAGUGUUGGAACUUGGACUUGAGCCCCGUCGGCCCUCGCGUCGACUGGCUUGAAAUGCAUUAGCGAUGUCUUACCAAGGUGUCCUCAUCGGCGUGAUAAGUAUUGAUCGUCAUGAAAGGUGCCACCGGUCUGUCGCUCCUAGCCGUCUUCGGACAAUUACUGACAUUUACACCUCAACUCGGGUAGGACUACCCGCUGAACUUAAGCAUAUCAAUAAGCGGAGGA